GACGAACGCUGGCGGCGUGCUUAACACAUGCAAGUCGAGCGGAAAGGCCACUUCGGUGGUACUCGAGCGGCGAACGGGUGAGUAACACGUGAGUAAUCUGCCCCUCACUUUGGGAUAGCCACCGGAAACGGUGAUUAAUACCGGAUAUGACCAUAUGUCGCAUGGCGUGUGGUGGAAAGUUUUUCGGUGAGGGAUGUGCUCGCGGCCUAUCAGCUUGAUGGUGAGGUAAUGGCUCACCAUGGCUUCGACGGGUAGCCGGCCUGAGAGGGUGACCGGUCACACUGGGACUGAGACACGGCCCAGACUCCUACGGGAGGCAGCAGUGGGGAAUAUUGGACAAUGGGCGGAAGCCUGAUCCAGCAACGCCGCGUGAGGGAUGACGGCCUUCGGGUUGUAAACCUCUUUCGGUACCGACGAAGCGCAAGUGACGGUAGGUACAGAAGAAGCACCGGCCAACUACGUG
Molecule: ribosomal RNA, 463 nt
Filed under: uncultured bacterium
Lineage: Bacteria
Description: partial 16S ribosomal RNA
Rfam family: Bacterial small subunit ribosomal RNA
Source: RNAcentral